CACGUAGGGGACGAGCGUUGUCCGGAUUCAUUGGGCGUAAAGCGCGCGUAGGCGGCUCGGAAAGUCGGGCGUGAAAUGCCGGGGCUCAACCCCGGGACUGCGUCCGAUACUGGGCGGCUAGAGUCUGGUAGGGGGAUCUGGAAUUCCUGGUGUAGCGGUGGAAUGCGCAGAUAUCAGGAGGAACACCGGUGGCGAAGGCGGGAUCCUGGGCCAGUACUGACGCUGAGGAGCGAAAGCGUGGGGAGCAAACAGG
Molecule: ribosomal RNA, 253 nt
Filed under: uncultured bacterium
Lineage: Bacteria
Description: partial 16S ribosomal RNA
Rfam family: Bacterial small subunit ribosomal RNA
Source: RNAcentral